CAGAAUGAAAAACCAGGGAAAAGACACCUCCAGCAUGGCGUGCCUGGGAGGCAGGAAAUCUGGACUCUGGUCUUGCUGUGUAACUGUGGGUAAGUCGUGGCCCUUCUCUGGGCUUCUCUUUCCUCCUCUGAAAAAAAUCAGCACAUGGGCUGAAGAUGGCUGGAAUCCUCAGGAUCUAAAAUCCUACAAUUCUGUGAUACGUCUCAUGGUUACAUGCACUCAAAGUUUGUAUAACCAUUUCAGUGUCUUGUAGUAGUGAAAGGUACACUCCUUUACUGCUUUCCAAACUAUCAGGCUAGGAAAUGCAAGCUUCUGACCUCAGCAGAUAAACUUAGAAAUCUCCACCAGUCAUAUUUUAGUGCAUUUUAAAUAGCACAUUUAAAGAGAGGUGGGGAAUUAUUCAUUCACUGCUUUUUAAGGCUCAAAAUGUAAAUUUUAUUCUUUGUAUUGCAUUUUCCUACAUAAUUUCUCAUUUCCUUUGUAUUUUCUCAGUUAAUCUUACCAGCAUCCCUAUGAGGUAGCCAAGAUGGGCAACUAGGUAGCCCUUAGUGGCAUUCACCAAAAAUUCUUGCUCUCCAUUCUUCUAAGAGCAUAGUAAUUUAUGGCCUGCGGUGGUUGGGAGUAUCAUGCAAUCAGUUCUGUUUAAGGAAUUGUGAGCUUCCAGAAAUAAUGAUUGUUAACUUCAAGCUGAACAUUUAAGUGAACGUACGAAGCCAUCUUGGGUUUUCUGUUUUCUUUGCCAAGGUGUCCAGAAAUGUUCUAAUCAGUGGCAGUUCCAUCAGCCUAAGUCCUGGAGUGAGAGUGAUGCAAAGAAAAGCCCCUAAAUGAAUUGGGGAAGACACACAGCAUAAGCAAAAUCAUCUUUAUUGAAGUACUGACAUAUUGGUGCUAUUUUCUGCUGCAUCCCAACUUAGCAACUGAGUCAGCCACUAGCACCAUUUUCAUAUGGAGAAACUGAAGCUUAGUAAACUAAAAUAAACAGUCUUUUCUUUGUAAGUGCCCCAUGCUUGGGAUUUGAACUUGGGUCUUCUGACUCCACAUUAGUUCUAUUUUCCCUACACUGAACAGUUACCUUAACUAGUAUUAGGUAUUAGACUUGAGUUCAUUUGAGCUCAACUUGUGGUUCCUGGGUUUAAUCAGUCUUUGGAAGAUACAAUAGGAGGGUAAUAAGAUCACAGGCUUUGGAGUUAAGCAGAUAUAAACUUGAGUCCUGGCUCUGGCAAUUAUUGGCUUCGUGUCCUUGGCAUGUUGCUAGAAUGUGGUCUCUUAAGUCUUCUCAUUCAACCAAGACUGUAGAGGGUAUGACUCUUAAUAGUAGGGAAAACGUACCGCUAAUGGUAUAGUAAGUAUCAAGCAUCAGUGGCAGUAUGGGUAGAUAUUUUGGGGUGGAGUCUGCUUAAAUCAGAGAGAAAGAGUGAUUUGCCUGAGGUUAUUCAGUAAGUGGCAGAGCCUCAAUCGCAACCCAGACCUCUCUCAUUCCUUCCAGACUUUCUCAAUCUUCUAAGAUGAAACUAGCUCUGCUAAAACCCUACAUAAGUGAGGAAAAAGAGGCAUGGCCUGAUUUUAAUGAUUGACUUCAACGUGGAGAGCCUUCCCAUUCUGUUCCUGUUUGCCUUCAAGCUUCAAGUUGAUUUAUUCUUUGAAUAUUUCUCUCCUUUAUCAUACUCUGGCUUAGCAUUGAGAACAGCAGGCAUUGCCUUGGCAAGGUUACAGGAUAAACUUGCUGCUUUUAGGACAUCUGCAUUCAGCAAAAUCUUUAUUUUUUCUCCCUUGGGCAUAAUCUUGGAAAAACACAUCUGUUAUUCCGGGUGCUUACCUGGCUGGGCUUAUUUUUUCUCCUUUGGAUGGAGAAGUGAGGAAGAAUUUUCACACCCUCUGAAGUCACAGACCCUUUGUGUAUUUAAAACAUACAAACAAACAAACUCUCAGAAUCUUGAUUGAGUCAUAAAGUUUUAUGAGAAAGAUGAGAGCACCACCUGUGUCCCAGAGUCCUUCAGUUCCAAGAUGUCAAAGUCACUGGAGAUGCUUUCAAGAGUCUCUUCUAAGUCACUGAAGUGUGGGCAGGGGUUAGGGGUUUGAAUGCCUCUUAAUGGACAGACCCUACGUUUCCCAGAUCUCUGCCCCAGGACAGAUCUCUCGUCCUCUUACCAUUGGCUAAGCCACAUUUACACAUGACUGCCUCUACCUUAUCCUCCCCAGUGAACCAAUGAAUGUUCCAGUAUUUGGGGAAGAGAAACAAAGACCAAGGUAAAGUUUGAAACUCAGUUCUACCUCAUUCAUCCAUUCAUUCAUGGUAAAACAAUUAUUGAGCACCUACUGUGUGCCAGGCCCUAGACUAGACCCUGAGGAAAUGCCAGUAAUCCAAUCCCUGACCUCAUUGUUUUCAACAGUGGAGAUUUGAAAAAUGACAAGGCAGUUAUAAUGUGGUGUAAUGAAGUCAGGAAUAAUUGACCAUCAUUUAUUCAAUAAUACUGAACACUGAUUAUAUGCCAAACACUGUUUUAAGUGCUAAGAAUAUAGUGGUGAGCAAAACAGACAAACAUCUCUGCCCUCAUGAAGCUUAUCUUUAGAUGAUAUAGGCAGGUAAUGAAAUAGAUAAGUGUAUGAUGCCAUGGCAAGUGGUAAUGACAAGCCUCAUGGAGAAAAAUACGGUGCAGUAUGUGGGGAGAGUGUGAUGGAGGGUGCUGUUCCAGCUCGGGUGGUCUCAGAAGGGUUCCCUGCAGAGGUGAUAUUUGAGGGGAGCCCUGCUAAUGAUGCAGGGCCACAAGGCCAGAAGCACUGCAUCCUGUAGGGUAUCUGAGAGGGCAUCUAACCUGUAUCUACCUGUGACUUUUGUUGAACUGCUUAACUUCUCUGAACUUCAGUCUCUUCCUCCCAUGAGGGGGUUUAAUGCCCUGCAUACUCACCUCCUCUGAUUGUGGAGAAGAAGAGAGAAACUCUUCUUGAAGGAGCUUCCUUGCUUUUUCUACUUGGAUCUGUGAAUUUUUCUCAUCAGCCCCUUCUCCAGAAGGUCUGGACUCCUAACAGUCUCAGAGUCUCAGUGGUGCUGAUGUGAACUCACAGACGAGGCUUUGAAUCCUGCCACCAAAAGCAAGUGUCCCAACUUCCCUGAGCCUGAUUCCCUCAUCUGUACAAUGGAUAUAAUGAACAGAACCUAUGCUUUCUGGUUAUUGUCAGAACUAAGUGAGUUUGUUCAUUUCAUACCUUCUAAAGGGACUUGCCCUGCAAGAAGUGCUUCAACACUGUGUUGACUGAAACAAUAUCACCAUUAUAUUUAUUAAACGUUGGAAAUACCAGUGGCACAUGCAGGAGCCUCAAGCCUGUGUCUGGCAUGUCAUCAAUACUCAGAAAAUGUUAUUGCUCCCCCCUUCUUCUCUUCGUUGUCUCUUCCACUCUAUUAUCAGUGAUGCUGCCCUCUUCCCCUCUUCUGUGUUUGAACCAAAGCCGAGGUUGCAGAGAGCUGGCAUCUGGCUCAAGGAAAAGAACAAAGUAAAGAAACUCUUCGGCUUCCUUCUUAGAAACUUUCAUCGCACAUCGACAGAAUGCCAGGUGCUCUCCCAAUCACUUUCCAUGUAUAUUAACCUAUUUGAUCCUCACAUUGACACUAUAAGCUAUAUAUGUUGACUAUCCUCACUUUAUGGUGAUGGAAACCAAAGUAUAGCAAUAAUAUUAAAUAACUUCACCAAGGUCACUGGGCUGAUUUGCAAGAAAUUCUCUAGCUCAAGCCCCCAGAACAAGAAAGAACUGAAUUCUCUAAAGAAUUAAGAUAAGAAAAUAGAUGGAAGCCUUCUGAAUAUUGUGUCUCUCCAAAGCCUGGAAGGAGCAGAUGAUGUGCAGAGGGAGCCUGAACCCCAACGGAGGCACCCCAUGCUGGAAGACACGUGGUAAAGGGGUUUUUCUUAUCACUUGGGCUCUGCUUACCUUCUCUGAUCUUCCUCUCUCCUUCCCUGGGGCUGGCAAGCGUGUCCACAGACAGUUGUAAAUUGCUGAUCUUGGCAAAAGGCACCGUGGAAAGACAAAGUGAAUCAUUAAAGAGAAAAAAUGGAGCCGGCUGUCUUUGAACUCUCAGACUCUGGAGCAUAGCAGUGCUUGGAGCUCAGCACUGCUUGUUUCAGAACUCCAGGAUCAAUAAUUGCCAGCUCCCUACACCCUGCCUUCUGAGAAUUGAGGCACCCCCUGGGCGCCAAGAGGCAGAGUGUGGAUUCCCAGGUGCAGAAGUGGCAUGAUGGGGACUUGGUCCCCAGCCUUUGGAAACUGCUGAUCUUUCCUUUCCUUCUUUCUUCUCCUGGAAGAGCAGAUGGCUUUGAGGGAUAGCGGGUGUACUUAGUCAAUUAGACUGCUGGCACACCCAUUGAUCUUUGGGGAGCUAAGGUCAGAAGAACAAUUACCCAGCCUGUAAUCCUUCUCCAGCUUUCUCUCCUCUGGACCUGUUGGAAUUACACACAACUGUCGAUGCAAGCUUUGUUCUCCUGGCGUGUCUCUCCCUCCUGCUAUUUCUCAUUUCUGAUCCAUUGGGGUCUCUGUCUUCUUCAUUCUCAUUAUUUUCCUGACUUCUCCCUUUUCCUUCUCUUCUCUCCUCAUCUAGGGAGUAAUGAACCCAUUUGGUCAAUUUCAAGGCCAUUCCCUGACUUACUGCUGGUCAUCUGUCCACUGGGGUGACAGCAUUGUUCAGAGGAAAGCUUGGGAAAUCAGACAGAUGGGAAUCCAAUUCCUGGUUUUUGGCUUAUUUGCUUCGUGACCAUGGACAAAUAAUUUAGCUUUAAUCAUCUUUUCUUUGAAUAUGGGUUGGAUCAGAGCAUGAGCGAAAUGAUGAUUGGCCCAUGGCAAGUGAUCCACAGAUAGUAAUCAUUAUCAUCAUUAUUAAUUAUCAUUAUUCUUUGCAGAGAAGGGGUGUGGGUAAGGCCAUCCUCUGCCUGUGGGUAAGGCCAUCCUCUGCCUGCCCCACCAGGUCUCAGCAACGUCAUGGCCCCUUAAGGCUCCCACUUCUCAGAGCCUGAACCAAUAACAACAUAGCCUGGUAGAAUAUUAGAAACUCUUUCUUCAUAGAAAGGAUCUAGAAAAGUCAGAUAUGCAGUUACCCAGGGUGGUGAGGAUGGCCCAGGACACAAUCCCCUGUCCCCCCACAAACAGAGUUGUGCUGCAGCUCCCCCAUCUGACCUCUCCAUGUGCAUCCACUCUGACCACCUGGCCUACUCCCAAGUUCUCGGUUCCCUGUCCAGUUUCCUGUCCAGUUUUCCUCUCAGAGCCCAGCUGAGAACCCCUAGCUUAGUGAGAUAUCAGAUCCCUGCCAGCUCUGAAUUCCAGCUCCUUCUGUGGUCUAGGGCACAAUGAUACUAAGAAGCCUGGUGCUGGAGUGUGUAGCUGGGAAGGGCUGGAGCUUGUCUUCUAAGCUUCCCCAGCCUCACUGUAAGGAAGAGGACUCUGUCACUGCCUUCAGAGCCAUCAGCAAUCUUGUCAUUUGAAGGCAUUGAGCUGGAAGUGAACUGAAGUUAUUCAUGGUUCUUGGCAUCAGCAGAAAUACCCUGGUCUUUCUGAAAGUGUGCUGGAUUUGGAAUCAGAAGACUUGGUCUGAGUCAUGGUUCUAUCAUUUACUAAUGAUAAAAACUUGGGGAAAAAAAAAAAACCUUAGGCAAGCCAUUUAACUUCUUGAGAAACACUUUCUACCAUUCUGACAACAAUCAUUUAAUACGGAUGCGUCUAUACGGUGGUUAGUAGUGCUGGCUCCUUCCUUUAUUAAAACACUCUUACAGGUGUGAGGGAUAUUUGUCAUGGAUUUCUACUUUGCUUGGAGAGACAAGGUGUUUAUAGCAGUUGCCAGUUACAAUAUAAAAGGUAAAUAUGGCACUGAGGUUAAGUUCAAGGCUCUCGGGUGCACAUCUCUGAUCUAUUUAUCAGCUGUGACCAUGGGCAAGUUAACCUACCUCUGUGU
This 5929-nucleotide long non-coding RNA is filed under the name Sus scrofa (pig). RNAcentral describes it as "lncRNA (ENSSSCG00000055621.1)". The record is from RNAcentral. Lineage: Eukaryota; Metazoa; Chordata; Mammalia; Artiodactyla; Suidae.